This 24-nucleotide non-coding RNA is filed under the name Arabidopsis thaliana (thale cress). The record is from RNAcentral. Lineage: Eukaryota; Viridiplantae; Streptophyta; Magnoliopsida; Brassicales; Brassicaceae.
CUGUCUAUUACAGGAUGGUGUAUU